RNAcentral lists this transfer RNA (65 nucleotides) under Dipodomys ordii (Ord's kangaroo rat). It matches the Rfam family "tRNA". From Rfam's summary of the family: Transfer RNA (tRNA) molecules are approximately 80 nucleotides in length. Their secondary structure includes four short double-helical elements and three loops (D, anti-codon, and T loops). Lineage: Eukaryota; Metazoa; Chordata; Mammalia; Rodentia; Heteromyidae. The record is from Rfam by way of RNAcentral.
GGUGGCUUAGUGGUAGAGUGCUUGCCUCGCAUGCACGAGGCCCUGGGUUCGAUUCCUCAGCACCA